GCCACCGUAGCUCAAUCGGCAGAGCACCGCUUUCGUAAAGCGGGGGUUGAUGGUUCGACUCCAUUCGGUGGCU
This 73-nucleotide transfer RNA is filed under the name Singulisphaera sp. RNAcentral describes it as "tRNA-Thr". It matches the Rfam family "tRNA". Rfam says of the family: Transfer RNA (tRNA) molecules are approximately 80 nucleotides in length. Their secondary structure includes four short double-helical elements and three loops (D, anti-codon, and T loops). The record is from RNAcentral. RNAcentral also lists the same sequence under 3 other names. Lineage: Bacteria; Pseudomonadati; Planctomycetota; Planctomycetia; Isosphaerales; Isosphaeraceae.